Molecule: ribosomal RNA, 497 nt
Filed under: uncultured bacterium
Lineage: Bacteria
Description: partial 16S ribosomal RNA
Rfam family: Bacterial small subunit ribosomal RNA
Source: RNAcentral
GAUGAACGCUGGCGGCGUGCCUAAUACAUGCAAGUCGAGCGAACGGACGAGAAGCUUGCUUCUCUGAUGUUAGCGGCGGACGGGUGAGUAACACGUGGAUAACCUACCUAUAAGACUGGGAUAACUUCGGGAAACCGGAGCUAAUACCGGAUAAUAUUUUGAACCGCAUGGUUCAAAAGUGAAAGACGGCCUUGCUGUCACUUAUAGAUGGAUCCGCGCUGCAUUAGCUAGUUGGUAAGGUAACGGCUUACCAAGGCAACGAUGCAUAGCCGACCUGAGAGGGUGAUCGGCCACACUGGAACUGGGACACGGUCCAGACUCCUACGGGAGGCAGCAGUAGGGAAUCUUCCGCAAUGGGCGAAAGCCUGACGGAGCAACGCCGCGUGAGUGAUGAAGGUCUUCGGAUCGUAAAACUCUGUUAUUAGGGAAGAACAUAUGUGUAAGUAACUGUGCACAUCUUGACGGUACCUAAUCAGAAAGCCACGGCUAACUACGUG